RNAcentral lists this ribosomal RNA (476 nucleotides) under uncultured bacterium. RNAcentral's name for it is "partial 16S ribosomal RNA". It matches the Rfam family "Bacterial small subunit ribosomal RNA", at positions 28 to 523 of the family's 1533-position model. The record is from RNAcentral.
GAUGAACGCUGGCGGCGUGCUUAACACAUGCAAGUCGAGCGAGUGAGUUCUUCGGAACGAUCUAGCGGCGGACGGGUGAGUAACACGUGGGCAACCUGCCUCAUAGAGGGGAAUAGCCUCCCGAAAGGGAGAUUAAUACCGCAUAAAAUUAUCGAGUGGCAUCACAUGAUAAUCAAAGGAGUAAUCCGCUAUGAGAUGGGCCCGCGGCGCAUUAGCUAGUUGGUGAGGUAACGGCUCACCAAGGCGACGAUGCGGAGCCGGACUGAGAGGGUGAUCGGCCACAUUGGGACUGAGACACGGCCCAGACUCCUACGGGAGGCAGCAGUGGGGAAUAUUGCACAAUGGGGGAAACCCUGAUGCAGCAACGCCGCGUGAGUGAUGAAGGUCUUCGGAUUGUAAAGCUCUGUCUUUGGGGACGAUAAUGACGGUACCCAAGGAGGAAGCCACGGCUAACUACGUGCCAGCAGCCGCAGUAA